This 122-nucleotide small nuclear RNA is filed under the name Octodon degus (degu). Its description in RNAcentral is "U4 spliceosomal RNA (ENSODEG00000023726.1)". It matches the Rfam family "U4 spliceosomal RNA". From Rfam's summary of the family: U4 small nuclear RNA (U4 snRNA) is a component of the major U2-dependent spliceosome. Lineage: Eukaryota; Metazoa; Chordata; Mammalia; Rodentia; Octodontidae. The record is from RNAcentral.
AGCUUUGUGCAGUGGCAGUAUCGUAGCCAAUGAGGUUUAUCCGAGGCGUGAUUAUUGCUAAUUGAAAACUUAUCCUUCCAAUUUUAGUAUAUGUGCUGCCGAAGCGAGCACAGUUUUUGUUG